Fundulus heteroclitus (mummichog) is the source of this 543-nucleotide long non-coding RNA. RefSeq lists it as uncharacterized. The transcript has 3 exons. The record is from RefSeq and is a predicted model, not a curated record. NCBI's taxonomy places the organism in Eukaryota, Metazoa, Chordata, Actinopteri, Cyprinodontiformes, Fundulidae.
AGGGCAUCUAGCUGCUGCUGGAUCUCAACGCGUAACUCAGUAAGUAACUGGAGGUUUGAUUCCCUCGUGGAUUUGGGAACAAGAUCAGACACGAGAGAACCAAAUAAAUCACCUGAUAUUGCCAUCGUUCCUUUCUUAAGAGUUCCUCAGAACUGCCCGAGAACAUACAGACUGGCUGCUUUUGAUCCUGAUGGUGACAAGGUGCGCUGCAGGUAUGGAAAUUUACACAAUUACGAGUGCGACAACUGCCACCUCCCUCCAGGCUUCCAGCUUGAUCAGGAUUCUUGCACAUUGCACUACCAGCAAACCUAUCAGAACCUCCGAACCUUUGGUUUUGAGAUGGUGGUAGAAGACUAUGCACGUAGCACUAUUGAUCUGUCCUAUUCUGAUGGAUCAAGAGUUCGCAAGCAUCCACUUCCUUCAAGGAGGAAGAGAGCAUACUACGCAACUACUCCAUCAUGGGGGUGGUGGACAACAACUCCAACUACCACAACUACUGCUGUGACAACCACCCCGUGGUGGUGGUGGACAACAACAACUGCA